This 619-nucleotide ribosomal RNA is filed under the name uncultured bacterium. RNAcentral's name for it is "bacterial SSU rRNA". It matches the Rfam family "Bacterial small subunit ribosomal RNA", at positions 338 to 947 of the family's 1533-position model. The record is from RNAcentral.
CCUACGGGAGGCAGCAGUGGGGAAUUUUGGACAAUGGGGGCAACCCUGAUCCAGCCAUUCCGCGUGAGUGAAGAAGGCCUUCGGGUUGUAAAGCUCUUUCGCAAGGGAAGAAAACUUAUGAUCGAAUAAAUCAUGAGGUUGACGGUACCUUGAUAAGAAGCACCGGCUAACUACGUGCCAGCAGCCGCGGUAAUACGUAGGGUGCGAGCGUUAAUCGGAAUUACUGGGCGUAAAGCGUGCGCAGGCGGUUUUGUAAGUCGGAUGUGAAAUCCCCGGGCUCAACCUGGGAACUGCGUUCGAAACUGCAAGGCUAGAGUGUGUCAGAGGGGGGUAGAAUUCCACGUGUAGCAGUGAAAUGCGUAGAGAUGUGGAGGAAUACCAAUGGCGAAGGCAGCCCCCUGGGAUAACACUGACGCUCAUGCACGAAAGCGUGGGGAGCAAACAGGAUUAGAUACCCUGGUAGUCCACGCCCUAAACGAUGUCAACUAGUUGUUGGUAGAGUAAAAUCUAUGAGUAACGUAGCUAACGCGUGAAGUUGACCGCCUGGGGAGUACGGUCGCAAGAUUAAAACUUAAAUGAAUUGACGGCUGAGACGNGCGAGACGACGACGAGGGAGAGG